UCUAAGAUGGCAGAUUAGUGCAAUGAAUUUAAGCUUCAUAUAUAAAGAAUACUUUUCUUAGAA
Molecule: transfer RNA, 63 nt
Filed under: Mongoloraphidia harmandi
Lineage: Eukaryota; Metazoa; Arthropoda; Insecta; Raphidioptera; Raphidiidae
Description: tRNA-Leu
Source: RNAcentral